RNAcentral lists this ribosomal RNA (207 nucleotides) under uncultured bacterium. RNAcentral's name for it is "partial 16S ribosomal RNA". It matches the Rfam family "Bacterial small subunit ribosomal RNA", at positions 568 to 774 of the family's 1533-position model. The record is from RNAcentral.
CACGUAGGCGGAUAUUUAAGUCAGGGGUGAAAUCCCAGAGCUCAACUCUGGAACUGUCUUUGAUACUGGGUAUCUUGAGUAUGGAAGAGGUAAGUGGAAUUCCGAGUGUAGAGGUGAAAUUCGUAGAUAUUCGGAGGAACACCAGUGGCGAAGGCGGCUUACUGGUCCAUUACUGACGCUGAGGUGCGAAAGCGUGGGGAGCAAACA